AACCUAUGGUGAGGGCACCAUCUCAGAAAGUCCUUAUAUAUUUCUCAUGCAUCGUAAAGUGUUUCUAAAUCCAUCUGCACAAAAGAAGAGAUAUCAUUACGUAAUUU
Non-coding RNA from Gossypium hirsutum (cotton), 107 nucleotides. NCBI's taxonomy places the organism in Eukaryota, Viridiplantae, Streptophyta, Magnoliopsida, Malvales, Malvaceae. The record is from Rfam.